UUAGCGAACAGGAGACCUCCGUUCAAACGGUGUAAUGCACGUGGAGUUGUGGACCUUGGCUCUUCGGAUCCGAUGCCCAUUGCAAAUGUGGGCUAGAAACCUGCCUAAUACGGCCUCACCGGAAAGAAACUUCACUGUUUGCGAUGCGCUACUGCUCUCGUAUACCGCGGCAGCUGUUGCUUGGCUGUUGUCUCACGAAG
This 200-nucleotide long non-coding RNA is filed under the name Dermacentor andersoni. Its description in RNAcentral is "uncharacterized LOC126531514". Lineage: Eukaryota; Metazoa; Arthropoda; Arachnida; Ixodida; Ixodidae. The record is from RNAcentral.